CCUACGGGAGGCAGCAGUGGGGGAUAUUGCACAAUGGGGGGAACCCUGAUGCAGCGCCGCCGCGUGGGUGAAGGAGCGUUUCGGCGCGUAAAGCUCUAUCGGCAGGGAAGAAGAUUACGGUACGUGACCAAGACGCCCCGGCUAACUCCGUUCCAGCAGCCGCGGUAAUACGUAGGGGGCAAGCGUUAGCCGGAUUUACUGGGGGUAAAGGGGGCGCAGACGGGAAUGCAAGCCAGGAGUGAAAGCCCGGGGCCCAACCCCGGGACUGCUCUUGGAACGGUGUGACUGGAGUAAAGGAGGGGCAGGCGGAAUUCCUGGGGUAGCGGUGAAAUGCGUAGAUAUUAGGAGGAACACCGGUGGCGAAGGCGGCCUGCUGGACUGUGACUGACGUUGAGGCCCGAAGGCGUGGGGAGCAAACAGGAUUAGAUACCCGAGUAGUC
RNAcentral lists this ribosomal RNA (440 nucleotides) under uncultured bacterium. Its description in RNAcentral is "partial 16S ribosomal RNA". It matches the Rfam family "Bacterial small subunit ribosomal RNA", at positions 338 to 795 of the family's 1533-position model. The record is from RNAcentral.